CCAUGCCGCGUGCAGGAUGACGGCCCUAUGGGUUGUAAACUGCUUUUAUAUAGGAAGAAACUCCCGUACGUGUACGGGAUUGACGGUACUAUACGAAUAAGGACCGGCUAACUCCGUGCCAGCAGCCGCGGUAAUACGGAGGGUCCAAGCGUUAUCCGGAUUCAUUGGGUUUAAAGGGUGCGCAGGCGGAACGAUAAGUCAGUGGUGAAAUCCUACAGCUCAACUGUAGAACUGCCAUUGAAACUGUCGAUCUUGAGUAUAGUUGAAGUGGGCGGAAUGUAUCAUGUAGCGGUGAAAUGCAUAGAUAUGAUACAGAACUCCGAUAGCGAAGGCAGCUCACUAACCUAUAACUGACGCUCAGGCACGAAAGCGUGGGGAGCAAACAGGAUUAGAUACCCUGGUAGUCCACGCCGUAAACGAUGAUCACUCGUUGUUGGCAAUACAUCGUCAGCGANUGA
RNAcentral lists this ribosomal RNA (458 nucleotides) under uncultured bacterium. RNAcentral describes it as "bacterial SSU rRNA". It matches the Rfam family "Bacterial small subunit ribosomal RNA", at positions 392 to 850 of the family's 1533-position model. The record is from RNAcentral.